Molecule: ribosomal RNA, 906 nt
Filed under: Triticum aestivum (bread wheat)
Lineage: Eukaryota; Viridiplantae; Streptophyta; Magnoliopsida; Poales; Poaceae
Description: partial small subunit ribosomal RNA
Source: RNAcentral
AUGCCAGGUGUACCAAGGGAACUCGCUGAGCACACGCUUAAUAUCAAUCCUAAGUUUAAACCAGUCAGGCAGUUCCUCCGCUGCUUUAACAACGAAAGGCGUAAGGCUAUUGGUGAGGAGGUAGCUCGGCUACUGGCCGCAGGGUUUAUCGUGGAAGUCUUUCACCCGGAGUGGCUAGCUAAUCCGGUGCUAGUCCUUAAGAAAAACAGCACUUGGCGUAUGUGUGUGGACUACACAGACUUGAACAAGGCUUGUCCAGCUGAUCCUUUUGCCCUCCCUCGUAUUGAUCAGAUUAUUGAUGCUACGACAGGUUGUGACCAUUUGUGUUUCCUGGAUGGUUAUUCUGGUUAUCAUCAGAUCAAAAUGGCAGUUAAGGACCAGGGGAAGACAACUUUCAUAACUCCCUUUGGGGCCUUCUGCUAUGUUUCUAUGCCCUUUGGGCUCAAGAGUGCCCAGGCGACUUACCAGCGCUGUGUUCAGAACUGUCUUAAUAAACAGAUUGGGCGCAAUGUUCAUGCAUAUGUGGAUGAUAUUGUGGUGAAGUCCAGGAAGGAGGAAACAUUGAUAGAUGACUUGAGAGAAACUUUUGACAAUCUCCGGGUUUAUAAGAUGAUGCUUAAUCCGGACAAAUGCGUCUUUGGUGUUCCGGCAGGCAAGCUUUUGGGUUUUCUGGUGUCUAACAGAGGCAUUGAGGCUAAUCUAGAAAAAAAUUCAGCUAUCACGUCCCUGGCUAAAUCGGCAUGUAUCAACGAUGUUCAGCGUUUGGCGGGCCGGAUUGCGGCUUUGAGACGGUUUAUCAGUCGUCUUGGGGAGAAGGCUGUCCCUUUAUAUCAGAUGUUGAAGAAAACAGACGACUUUGUUUGGAGCGAUACGGCUGAUAAAGCGUUUGAGAAUUUGAAGAGAUAG